Molecule: ribosomal RNA, 503 nt
Filed under: uncultured bacterium
Lineage: Bacteria
Description: partial 16S ribosomal RNA
Rfam family: Bacterial small subunit ribosomal RNA
Source: RNAcentral
AUUGAACGCUGGCGGCAGGCUUAACACAUGCAAGUCGAGCGGGGUGAUGGUGCUUGCACUAUCACUUAGCGGCGGACGGGUGAGUAAUGCUUAGGAAUCUGCCUAUUAGUGGGGGACAACAUCUCGAAAGGGAUGCUAAUACCGCAUACGUCCUACGGGAGAAAGCAGGGGAUCACUUGUGACCUUGCGCUAAUAGAUGAGCCUAAGUCGGAUUAGCUAGUUGGUGGGGUAAAGGCCUACCAAGGCGACGAUCUGUAGCGGGUCUGAGAGGAUGAUCCGGCACACUGGGACGGGGACACGGCCCAGACUCCUACGGGAGGCAGCAGUGGGGAAUAUUGGACAAUGGGGGGAACCCUGAUCCAGCCAUGCCGCGUGUGUGAAGAAGGCCUUAUGGUUGUAAAGCACUUUAAGCGAGGAGGAGGCUCUUUUGGUUAAUACCCAAGAUGAGUGGACGUUACUCGCAGAAUAAGCACCGGCUAACUCUGUGCCAGCCGCCUCCGUAA